UAAAUUUGUACGCUAAUACAUGACUGGAACUAUAGUUCUGAUAAUAUGAGCGACUGUAUCUGAUAUUCCUGAAUCUAGUAGAACUUUCUGAGUCCCAUGCUAUAACUAAAUUUUGACGGUAUCUAACAGUCCUGGUAUACUGAUAUCUGAAGCACUGUCUGAGUUCUUUUACUGAGACUGAUACUGAAACUAUGGUAGGUAGUUUUUUAACUGACAUGCCCCAUGUAUACCAUUACGGCUAAGCUGGGCUCUAAUCUCUGCCCCGA
Molecule: long non-coding RNA, 266 nt
Filed under: Capsicum annuum
Lineage: Eukaryota; Viridiplantae; Streptophyta; Magnoliopsida; Solanales; Solanaceae
Description: long non-coding RNA (CANN_LNC014847)
Source: RNAcentral